GGGAAAGGUGAAAAGAACGCCGAGAAGGCGAGUGAAAUAGUACCUGAAACCGUGUGCCUACAAUCCGUUGGAGCCUCCCUAGCAGGGGUGACAGCGUGCCUUUUGAAGAAUGAGCCUGCGAGUUAGUGGUACGUGGCGAGGUUAACCCGUGUGGGGUAGCCGUAGCGAAAGCGAGUCCGAACAGGGCGUUUGAGUCGCUGGG
This 202-nucleotide ribosomal RNA is filed under the name Ditylum brightwellii. Its description in RNAcentral is "partial Bacterial large subunit ribosomal RNA". It matches the Rfam family "Bacterial large subunit ribosomal RNA", at positions 507 to 707 of the family's 2925-position model. Lineage: Eukaryota; Bacillariophyta; Thalassiosirophyceae; Lithodesmiales; Lithodesmiaceae. The record is from RNAcentral.